GAAGGAAAGUUGCAAAGCACUCCGAAGAGAGAGUUAAAGAGGACGUGAAACCGAUACGAUGGAAGCGUACAAAGCCAGUCGCAGUUUCAUUUUUUUUAAAAAUGUUUCUAAGCAUGAGAACUUUGAUUGAUCAAUUGUAAGGGUAUUUAGGUCGGCAAUCUCGAUUGUUAGUUAAAUAUCAAUAACUCUUGAUUUUGAUUAAAGCAUCAUUCAUCUGGUGAUGAUUAAUUGAAAUUUAUGUCUUUUCUUGUAUUGCACAUGUGUAAUGCUUUUUAAAAUAUGAAUGAAGGUUAAUUUAUCCAGGUUAAUUCUUAUGUAGUCCUGGUAUGUUGUACGUCCCGUCUUGAAACACGGACCAAGGAGUGUAUUACUAAAGCGAGUCAUUGACUAUUUAUACAGUCAUAGGCGUAUUGAAAAAGAUUUAAUGUAUGAGUUUUGAUUUCUAUCAAAAUGCAAUAUAAUGGUAGACUAUUAGCAUGCUAUUGUCUGCACAUAGAGCUUUAGUAGUGCGACCCGAAAGAUGGUGAACUAUGCUAGUGCAAAGUGAAKUCAGAAGAAAUUCUGAUGGAAGCUUGAAGCGGUCCUGACGUGCAAAUCGGUCGUCUGACAUUGGUAUAGGGGCGAAAGACUAAUCGAACCAUCUA
This 644-nucleotide ribosomal RNA is filed under the name Alloionema similis. Its description in RNAcentral is "eukaryotic LSU rRNA". It matches the Rfam family "Eukaryotic large subunit ribosomal RNA", at positions 355 to 946 of the family's 3401-position model. The record is from RNAcentral. Lineage: Eukaryota; Metazoa; Nematoda; Chromadorea; Rhabditida; Alloionematidae.